CCUACGGGAGGCAGCAGUGGGGAAUUUUGGACAAUGGGCGAAAGCCUGAUCCAGCAAUGCCGCGUGUGGGAAGAAGGCCUUCGGGUUGUAAACCACUUUUGUACGGAACGAAAAGGUCUGCUUUAAUAAAGCGGGCUCAUGACGGUACCGUAAGAAUAAGCACCGGCUAACUACGUGCCAGCAGCCGCGGUAAUACGUAGGGUGCGAGCGUUAAUCGGAAUUACUGGGCGUAAAGCGUGCGCAGGCGGUUAUAUAAGACAGUUGUGAAAUCCCCGGGCUCAACCUGGGAAUUGCAUCUGUGACUGUAUAGCUAGAGUACGGUAGAGGGGGAUGGAAUUCCGCGUGUAGCAGUGAAAUGCGUAGAUAUGCGGAGGAACACCGAUGGCGAAGGCAAUCCCCUGGACCUGUACUGACGCUCAUGCACGAAAGCGUGGGGAGCAAACAGGAUUAGAUACCCUGGUAGUCCACGCCCUAAACGAUGUCAACUGGUUGUUGGGUGCAUUAGUACUCAGUAACGAAGCUAACGCGUGAAGUUGACCGCCUGGGGAGUACGGCCGCAAGGUUGAAACUUAAAUGAAUUGAGG
Molecule: ribosomal RNA, 584 nt
Filed under: uncultured bacterium
Lineage: Bacteria
Description: bacterial SSU rRNA
Rfam family: Bacterial small subunit ribosomal RNA
Source: RNAcentral